GUAGUAGGGUGUUUAUUAUAGCAUUUUGUAUUUUGAUUACAGAGGAAGGUAGUUCUUACUAC
RNAcentral lists this transfer RNA (62 nucleotides) under Cichlidogyrus halli. Its description in RNAcentral is "tRNA-Gln". Lineage: Eukaryota; Metazoa; Platyhelminthes; Monogenea; Dactylogyridea; Ancyrocephalidae. The record is from RNAcentral.